This 490-nucleotide ribosomal RNA is filed under the name uncultured bacterium. Its description in RNAcentral is "partial 16S ribosomal RNA". It matches the Rfam family "Bacterial small subunit ribosomal RNA", at positions 30 to 507 of the family's 1533-position model. The record is from RNAcentral.
AUUGAACGCUGGCGGCAGGCCUAACACAUGCAAGUCGAACGGUAGCAGGAAGAAGCUUGCUUCUUUGCUGACGAGUGGCGGACGGGUGAGUAAUGUCUGGGAAACUGCCUGAUGGAGGGGGAUAACUACUGGAAACGGUAGCUAAUACCGCAUAACGUCGCAAGACCAAAGAGGGGGACCUUCGGGCCUUUUGCCAUCGGAUGUGCCCAGAUGGGAUUAGCUAGUAGGUGGGGUAACGGCUCACCUAGGCGACGAUCCCUAGCUGGUCUGAGAGGAUGACCAGCCACACUGGAACUGAGACACGGUCCAGACUCCUACGGGAGGCAGCAGUGGGCAAUAUUGCACAAUGGGCGCAAGCCUGAUGCAGCCAUGCCGCGUGUAUGAAGAAGGCCUUCGGGUUGUAAAGUACUUUCAGCGGGGAGGAAGGGAGUAAAGUUAAUACCUUUGCUCAUUGACGUUACCCGCAGAAGAAGCACCGGCUAACUCCGUG